AAUCCCGAGGCUCAACCUCGGGCUUGCAGUGGGUACGGGCAGACUAGAGUGCGGUAGGGGAGAUUGGAAUUCCUGGUGUAGCGGUGGAAUGCGCAGAUAUCAGGAGGAACACCGAUGGCGAAGGCAGAUCUCUGGGCCGUAACUGACGCUGAGGAGCGAAAGCGUGGGGAGCGAACAGGAUUAGAUACCCUGGUAGUCCACGCCGUAAACGUUGGGCGCUAGAUGUAGGGACCUUUCCACGGUUUCUGUGUCGUAGCUAACGCAUUAAGCGCCCCGCCUGGGGAGUACGGCCGCAAGGCUAAAACUCAAAGGAAUUGACGGGGGCCCGCACAAGCGGCGGAGCAUGCGGAUUAAUUCGAUGCAACGCGAAGAACCUUACCAAGGCUUGACAUACACCGGAAACGGCCAGAGAUGGUCGCCCCCUUGUGGUCGGUGUACAGGUGGUGCAUGGUUGUCGUCAGCUCGUGUCGUGAGAUGUUGGGUUAAGUCCCGCAACGAGCGCAACCCUCGUUCUAUGUUGCCAGCGCGUUAUGGCGGGGACUCAUAGGAGACUGCCGGGGUCAACUCGGAGGAAGGUGGGGAUGACGUCAAAUCAUCAUGCCCCUUAUGUCUUGGGCUUCACGCAUGCUACAAUGGCCGGUACAAAGGGCUGCGAUACCGUAAGGUGGAGCGAAUCCCAAAAAGCCGGUCUCAGUUCGGAUUGAGGUCUGCAACUCGACCUCAUGAAGUCGGAGUCGCUAGUAAUCGCAGAUCAGCAACGCUGCGGUGAAUACGUUCCCGGGCCUUGUACACACCGCCCGUCAA
RNAcentral lists this ribosomal RNA (804 nucleotides) under Curtobacterium sp. 104.21. Its description in RNAcentral is "bacterial SSU rRNA". It matches the Rfam family "Bacterial small subunit ribosomal RNA", at positions 598 to 1400 of the family's 1533-position model. The record is from RNAcentral. Lineage: Bacteria; Bacillati; Actinomycetota; Actinomycetes; Micrococcales; Microbacteriaceae.